UUGACCCUGGCCAGGAUGACGCUGGCGGUCUGCUUACACAUGCAAGUCGAACGCAACCUUCGGGUUGAGUGGCGGACGGGUGAGUAACGCGUGAGAAUCUGCCUUGGGGUCGGGGACAACCACUGGAAACGGUGGCUAAUACCGGAUAAGCCUUUGGGUAAAAAAUUUAUUGCCCCAAGAGGAGCUCGCGUCUGAUUAGCUAGUUGGUGAGGUAAAAGCUCACCAAGGCAGCGAUCAGUAGCUGGUCUGAGAGGACGAUCAGCCACACUGGGACUGAGACACGGCCCAGACUCCUACGGGAGGCAGCAGUGGGGAAUUUUCCGCAAUGGGCGAAAGCCUGACGGAGCAAGACCGCGUGAGGGAGGAAGGCUCUUGGGUUGUAAACCUCUUUUCUCAGGGAAGAAGCUCUGACGGUACCUGAGGAAUCAGCCUCGGCUAACUCCGUGCCAGCAGCCGCGGUAAUACGGAGGAGGCAAGCGUUAUCCGGAAUUAUUGGGCGUAAAGCGUCCGCAGGUGGCGAUUCAAGUCUGCUGUCAAAGCACGGGGCUUAACUCCGUUAAGGCAGUGGAAACUGAAUAGCUAGAGUGCCGUAGGGGUAGAGGGAAUUCCCGGUGUAGCGGUGAAAUGCGUAGAGAUCGGGAAGAACAUCGGUGGCGAAAGCGCUCUACUGGACGGCAACUGACACUCAGGGACGAAAGCUAGGGGAGCGAAUGGGAUUAGAUACCCCAGUAGUCCUAGCUGUAAACGAUGGAUACUAGGUGUAGCUUGUAUCGACCCGAGCUGUGCCGAAGCUAACGCGUUAAGUAUCCCGCCUGGGGAGUACGCACGCAAGUGUGAAACUCAAACGAAUUGACGGGGGCCCGCACAAGCGGUGGAGUAUGUGGUUUAAUUCGAUGCAACGCGAAGAACCUUACCAGGCCUUGACAUGUCCGG
RNAcentral lists this ribosomal RNA (933 nucleotides) under uncultured organism. RNAcentral's name for it is "bacterial SSU rRNA". It matches the Rfam family "Bacterial small subunit ribosomal RNA", at positions 13 to 993 of the family's 1533-position model. The record is from RNAcentral.